Molecule: ribosomal RNA, 494 nt
Filed under: uncultured bacterium
Lineage: Bacteria
Description: partial 16S ribosomal RNA
Rfam family: Bacterial small subunit ribosomal RNA
Source: RNAcentral
GACGAACGCUGGCGGCGUGCUUAACACAUGCAAGUCGAACGGAACGGCCUGCUUUUCCUUGUGGGUUGCGGGUACUCGAGUGGCGAACGGGUGAGUAACACGUGAGUGAUCUGCCCCGAACUUGGGUAUAAGCCUGGGAAACUGGGUCUAAUUCCCGAUCGGACUGCAGGGUGGUGCCUGUGGUGGAAAAUGAUUUUCUAGUGGUUGGGGAUGAGCUUGUGGCCUAUCCGCUUGUUGGAGGGGUAAUGGCCUAACAAGGCGGCGACGGGUAGCCGGUCUGACGGGGGGGACGGGGACAGUGAGACUGAGCUACGACCCAGGCACUGAGGGGCGGCAGCGGUUGGGAAGAGGAGACGAUGGGGGGAAGACUGAAGCAGCGAGGCCGCGUGGGGGAUGACGGGCUGCGGGUGGUAAGCUGCUUUCGAGGGCGAAGAGGCCACCUGGUUGGGAGGGUGGUGACGGUAGUGGUAGAAGAAGCACCGGCUAACUACGUG